AGUCAUCACCAAGAGGCAAGAGAAGCCCAAAGAACCGCCCAGAGAAGCAGAUUGCUCACCAGAGCUGCAGGCAGUGCUUUUCCACCAAGAUGCUUUCCUCAAACGCAAGGACCAGGCAGCUAAAUGGCACUUGUGCCAGCUCGGUGGACAUGGAGCUCUUCCUCCAUUACUCCCUCAUCCCAUCACUUUUCAUCAUUUUGGUCUUGUCCCUUCUCCAAAGACGAGAGCACCAUAGACAGAGAGAUGACGCUUCUUACCUCCUGGGAAACCGCUUCAGAAUGAUCAUACCUCUGGACUUCGUGGGCACUUUUCGUAACCGAUGGUCCUAUGGAGUAGCCUUUGGGGCUACAGCCAAUAAGGUCAUGUUCUUAUUCUCAGAAGGCUACAAGCCCCUGCAAGUCCCACAAUGGGCCCAAGCCUUUGUGCUUCUGAUCGGAGGCAUCGAAGUCGGCCUGUCCCACUUCCCCUUCUUUGCUUGCCUCUCGUCGGAGUUCCGGCUGGUCAGCUCCAUCCUGGGGUUCAGCUACUCUCUGAUCUGGUUUGCUGUCACCACCCUUCACAUCACACAGUGUCCCCAUGGGCAGUUUGUGGGGAAGUAUGAGACUGUUGUGUUCUACUGGCCCUCGCUGCUCUGCCUGGCCUUCCUUCUGGGCCGCUUCCUGUACAUGUUUGUCAAGUCUCUGAGGGUCCACCUGGGCUGGGAGCUCCAGACGGAAGAAAAGCCUUUCCUGGAAGUUCACCAGGCAGAGCAUGUCAAACAGCUCCUGAGGAAGUGCCCCCUGCAAGAGAGAGAAAAGUCUUGGUUCCAAACCAGGAUCUAUGAGUGGGACCCUUACUUUCAGUUCCCAAGCAGGAUGAUUGGAACCACUGUGUUGGCUUUCAUCUGCCUGUACCUUUUCAUUGUCAUUGAGUUCUGCAUGUUCGUGUAUGUGAGAGAUGAGCUGGAUGUGUUUGAAGGCGAAUUGGAGAGCUACGUCGCCUCCAUGAACCGGACGGGUACCCUGACCCCAGUCCUCCUGCAGGUGAAAGAGCUGAUUAACGUCACCAAAGGAGUCUGGGUGGUGACCAUCUUGCCUGCCUCCCUCACGUGUGUGAGCUACCUGUUUCACAUCUUGGCUUGUUACAGGAAGCAAAUGAAGAGGUUGUGGGCAGGAGAUAAACACUUUCUCCCUUUGAAGUUCCAUAAUCCUUCCUCGUCAGAGAGUGUGGUGGCCAUUGCAAGGUACUCUGGCUGGCAGAUAGCUUAUAUUCUGUGGGGCUACCUCAUCAUCCACGUGAUGCAGAGCCUGUGUGGCCUAGUGAUCAUGUACAGCCUGGUGCUACCUGUCAUCCACAAUCAGACCCUGGAGAUGCUCCGAGGACUGGGCAUCGGGAUCCUCACCAUAUCCAUCGUCCUGGGCCUCAUGGUCCUGCAGGUAUGGAUCGCCGCCAGCUUCUUCCUGCAACCAAAGAUGGGAGCAGCUGACAAGCAGAAGCCCUUGGCUCUCAAUAACAGGAGAGCAUUCCACAACUUCAACUACUUUCUGUUCUUCUACAACGUGCUGCUGGGCCUGGGCGCCUGCCUCUCCAGGCUUCUCAUCAGCUGCAUCCUGGGCACGUGGCUGAUAGCCCGCAUCGACAGGACCAUUCUGCAGAGUGGCUGUGAGAGAGCAGACAUGGGGUUCAGUGCGUGGAUUGGCAUGCUCUAUGUGGAUCAUUAUCACACCAACCCUGUGCUCGUCAGCUUUUGUCACAUCCUGAUCACAGGCCACAGAGAGAGGAGGCUGCAGCAGGCCAUCAAAUACUGGUACCCAAAUCAGUCAGCAGGUCCCCGCACCUCAGUGAGGUCCAGGACAAGGUGGCUCCUGCUGCAGACCCUGAUCAACAACCCCAGACUGGUCACGCUCAGAAAAUCAAGGCCAGGUCAUGGCUCCCGGGACUUACCCAGAUUCUGUUGAUGUGCUCGGAGAGCUGACGUUGACCUCCCACAUUGCGACAAGGCCAUUCCAGGACAUCUGCCCCUGAGGAGGCCCAGGCUACCCAGCAGCUGUCCCCUGCAGUGUGACGGGAUGCACAGGCGCUGUCCACACAGACGGCAUACAGGCCAGCAAUUCAUGGGAUGGCACUUGGGCUGAACAAUGAAGUCUCAGGUCUAAUUCAUUCCCUUGGUAAAAAGAUCAAGAACUAAAGAGAAUUUCUCUUGAACAAACUUUGCCCAAUAAUGAUUUCCACUAUCCAUGGUUAGGAGGCAGCCCUGGGGAGAUCCAUGUUGAGACACACUUAAUGUAGCCACAGGGCAGAACUUUGUGUCACUGAAAGAGGUGGUAAAUUUUUUUAUAUCAGGAGAGUUUAACCAUGUGGCACAGUUUUUCUCUGGGAGAAAGUAUGGCCUUAGUCCAACAGGGUCCUCGUUGUUUCCUCCUUUCUAGGUCUUAUGGUGGUGGGAGAGAAGGAAUCCACGAUCCCAGCCUCCAGUCUGGUGGACAGGGAGACCAAGGCCUCAGUCAGGAAGAGACUUGGAGGAACCCACAUCUCUUUCUCCAUGGUACCAUCUGAGGGGAAGGCUGACUCCAGCUCCAGACCAAAAUCUCCUGCAUCUCUGCUGCUUCGCCAGCUAGGAAACCGGGAUGGGUGUCUUAUGUCCCUGAUCCAGCCAUUUGGACCCAAGGCUAGGCAGCCCGUUCGUCCACUUGGUCCGUGGGAGUCCCCUGCAGUGCCCAUCCUUGGUGAAGGCAGGGUGCCCUCUCCUGGGAGAUGGAGGGAAGACCAGAGGAGCAGCAGCGGCCCGGCUUCCUGAGGACAGGCUAGGCUGGUUUAGUGAAGAAAGGAACUCCCACCCGCCCCACCAGCCUGGAAGAAGCUAAAUGCCAGCGGGAUGGACCAGCAUGGAAGCCAGACACCUGCUGAUUCUGCCAGUUCAGCAUCGCCUCCUGGAACAGCCAGCUGUUGCCACUUUAUCCCAUUACCAGGGCCUCCUGCCCCCAAACUGUCCCCCACCUGCCCACGGACCAAACAGACCCCUCUUCCUGUUAAUCUAGACAAGACAAAACUGGAAUUUUUCAAAGAUACCUUAAGUGAGAAAUGAAACGGCACGCGUCUCGUGCCCCUCUCCCUCUCUCUUUCUAGACUUCCAGACUCCACUCUGCCUCGAUGAGCAGCUCCCAGCUCUAUGGUGAGUGGAGGUGCUCGGCAGAGCAGAGAGGAUGGCGUGCAGUGAGGAGGAGUUCCUGAGGUUCAGCAUUCCUGGGGAAGAAGAUGGACGAUGGACUGUGGAAGAGGAAGGAAAAGGAUGAAGUUCAAGUCAAGAGACAUUUUCAAAGUGAAGACUGAGGGGGAAGAUACAACGUUGAGGUGCAGGAAAAAGAGUCCAAAGGCUUGGCUUCACUCCUUCCAUUCCCUGUCUCUCACCUCCUUGCCCAUCUCUAACACGGGAGGUGGACUCACCAGAUAAUCUCUAGCUGGUUAUUCUUUCCAGUUAGAACAUUGUAGAGUUAGGAGGGUAAUACAAAUGCCAUCCAAAAGCCAAACACAAAUUUCCAUGUUUGAUCCAAACUCAAAUACAAAAGCCCAGAAACUUGGGAAUUAAGGAAGGUAAAUUCUCAGUGGUGAUAUUAUGGGUUAUUUUUAUUUUCGCCAUUCAAUUUUUUUUUCUAUUUUAAACAAUGUGUGUUGCUUACUUGGAACCCAGAAAGCAUCUAUGAGCAGGGAAAACACAGUUUCUGAUGUAGAAGGGCCAAGCCAACAGGGCCUCUUAGACAAGACAGAGAUCUCGCUAACUGCAAAUAAUUCCUGCACACUUCCUAUUUUUUAUUGUGUUUUUCACCCUUAACCUCACUUAAAUAUACUUUCUCUGUUUCCAGCUAAAAUUAGUCCAAUCACUUGUUACAAUAUUUCACCUUGUUAAUAAAACCUGGGACCAAAGAAGGGGAAUAAAAGGGUUUCUAUUCA
This is an RNA transcript of Aethalodelphis obliquidens (Pacific white-sided dolphin), 3927 nucleotides long. It is a transcript of the gene named stimulated by retinoic acid gene 6 protein-like, with no coding region annotated. Lineage: Eukaryota; Metazoa; Chordata; Mammalia; Artiodactyla; Delphinidae. The record is from RefSeq and is a predicted model, not a curated record. The transcript is spliced from 21 exons.